This is a long non-coding RNA of Lycium barbarum (goji berry), 820 nucleotides long. RefSeq lists it as uncharacterized. Lineage: Eukaryota; Viridiplantae; Streptophyta; Magnoliopsida; Solanales; Solanaceae. The record is from RefSeq and is a predicted model, not a curated record. The transcript is spliced from 3 exons.
CUUCUCUCCACGCCAAACAUACCUACUCCCUCUCUCCUCCCUCUCCUUCACCGAACCCUAGCCGCCACCCCCCUACGUUCUUUCUCCUCUGAGCUGGAUUGCCAAAAAUGGCGAAAACACAUACUCCACAGGCUUUUCUCAGUACGUGCAUAGUCGAAUCAAGCCGCAUUUAUUGCGACACAAAGAAGGCUCCAAGUCCAUUCUUGCUCCGACUGCACUCAAAAAAGCCCAACAAUGUUGAUUCUUUCAGAACACGAAUGAGUCCAAUGGAGAGAAAGGGAAGCAAAUAUUGAAGAUACAUAGAAGGCCCAACCAUGGGUAAAAAUGGUUAACUAGGGGCUUGGUACGCCCUUAGCCUAACUUAUCUUUUAUUUACAUAUUUAUAUUCUGAUAUUGUAUUGUAUUUGUGUGUUUGUAAAACAUUUUUAUUUAUUGAAUCCUUUACGGUUAUGAACUAGUCGUCUUAGGCCAAAGUUGCUUAUGUCGUUUAGAAGACUUUAAGUCCCCGAACGAUUUAAAAAAAUACCCAGAUUUAGUAUAAUGAUUUUUAAAACCUGAAUGAAUAACAAAUAAAACAACUUUUGAUACAAGAUCAAAACUGACACAAAGAUGUUUCAAAAACCACAAACAUUAUAUCAUUCCCCUAAGAAAACCAUAUCAGUUUUGCAAAAAAACAAUUCAUUUUGGAAAGUUAAAAUCAGUUUUGGAUAGAAAGCUAGAUUAGAACAGGCUGAUUUUGGGCCAACCCCAACCCAAAAAACUAAUGUUUUGGGGCCUAAGCCCAUCUGAGUUUGAACCAGAAAACAAAAGGAAAGAAUGA